Molecule: long non-coding RNA, 613 nt
Filed under: Canis lupus familiaris (dog)
Lineage: Eukaryota; Metazoa; Chordata; Mammalia; Carnivora; Canidae
Description: lncRNA (ENSCAFG00040007580.1)
Source: RNAcentral
UUAUAAUACACAUCACAUAGAAAAUAAAAGGUAAUAUUUAAACUAUUAGGGGAGUUCAUAUUUCACUGCCAAUAUAUUUUAUUUUGAAAAUACUACAUUGAAUCAGCUUUCUUUUUGAAUAACCUUUGUUGCCUUGGAUGUGACAGACAUACAUUCCUACUCUUAUACAAAGUACAGUUCAUUUAUUUAUUAAAAUAAAUAUUUAUGUUUACUGGGGCUCUAUUAUGUGCCAGGAUCUAUUCUGGGUCUUUGGGAUCAGGUAGGGUAUAAAUAGACAAAUUCUUAUGCUCAGAGAGCUUAUAUGGUAGACACAAACAGUAAAUAAAUGAAUAAAUUAAAAAUGAAUAUAUAAUAAGCAAUGUGGCAAUUAAUAUUAUUUUGCAUAAUUAGUUUAAAAAUAGAUUUAAAAUGUGAAUGGCAUGAGACCAUACGGGUACUAAUUUAUUAUUACCAAAUAGCUAUGAUUUAUUAUUAUUGUUAUUGUUUGUAUAAUGCCUUUCAAUCCAUAAAGCAGUUUCCAUACGCCUCAGGAUACCUGUGAGAGAAAAUAAGACAAUGAUCACUAUUUCACAAAUGUGAAAACUGAGACUGUAUAUUAAAAGAAAAGAACCUC